Molecule: ribosomal RNA, 383 nt
Filed under: uncultured bacterium
Lineage: Bacteria
Description: bacterial SSU rRNA
Rfam family: Bacterial small subunit ribosomal RNA
Source: RNAcentral
GACGGACGCUGGCGGCGUGCUUAACACAUGCAAGUCGAGCGGUAAGGCCCUUUCGGGGGUACACGAGCGGCGAACGGGUGAGUAACACGUGGGUGACCUGCCCUUAGCUCUGGGAUAAGCCUGGGAAACUGGGUCUAAUACCGGAUAUGACUCCAUGACGCAUGUUGUGGGGUGGAAAGCCUUGUGCGGCUAGGGAUGGGCCCGCGGCCUAUCAGCUUGUUGGUGGGGUGAUGGCCUACCAAGGCGACGACGGGUAGCCGGCCUGAGAGGGCGACCGGCCACACUGGGACUGAGACACGGCCCAGACUCCUACGGGAGGCAGCAGUGGGGAAUCUUGCGCAAUGGGCGAAAGCCUGACGCAGCGACGCCGCGUGAGGGAUGAC